GAUCAUGGCUCAGGAUGAACGCUAGCUACAGGCUUAACACAUACAAGUCGAGGGGCGAUCAGUUUGGUUUUGCUUGCAAACCAAAGCUGGCGACCGGCGCACGGGUGAGUAACACGUAUCCAACCUGCCUCAUACUCGGGGAUAGCCUUUCGAAAGAAAGAUUAAUAUCCGAUAGCAUAUAUUUCCCGCAUGGGUUUUAUAUUAAAGAAAUUCGGUAUGAGAUGGGGAUGCGUUCCAUUAGUUUGUUGGG
This 250-nucleotide ribosomal RNA is filed under the name uncultured bacterium. RNAcentral's name for it is "partial 16S ribosomal RNA". It matches the Rfam family "Bacterial small subunit ribosomal RNA", at positions 15 to 253 of the family's 1533-position model. The record is from RNAcentral.